UACGUAGGGUGCAAGCGUUAAUCGGAAUUACUGGGCGUAAAGCGUGCGCAGGCGGUUUUGUAAGUCUGAUGUGAAAUCCCCGGGCUCAACCUGGGAAUUGCAUUGGAGACUGCAAGGCUAGAAUCUGGCAGAGGGGGGUAGAAUUCCACGUGUAGCAGUGAAAUGCGUAGAGAUGUGGAGGAACGCCGAUGGCGAAGGCAGCCCCCUGGGUCAAGAUUGACGCUCAUGCACGAAAGCGUGGGGAGCAAACAGG
Molecule: ribosomal RNA, 253 nt
Filed under: uncultured bacterium
Lineage: Bacteria
Description: partial 16S ribosomal RNA
Rfam family: Bacterial small subunit ribosomal RNA
Source: RNAcentral